GUACUUACCUGGCGGGGAGAUACCCUGAUCACGAAGGUGGUUUUCCCAGGGCGAGGCUUAUCCAUUGCCAUCCGGAUGUUCUGACCCCUGCGAUUUCCCCAAAUGUGGGAAACUCGACUGCAUCAUUUGUGGUAGUGGGGGACUGCGUUCAUGCUCUCCCCUG
Molecule: small nuclear RNA, 163 nt
Filed under: Echinops telfairi (small Madagascar hedgehog)
Lineage: Eukaryota; Metazoa; Chordata; Mammalia; Afrosoricida; Tenrecidae
Description: U1 spliceosomal RNA (ENSETEG00000023592.1)
Rfam family: U1 spliceosomal RNA
About the family: U1 is a small nuclear RNA (snRNA) component of the spliceosome (involved in pre-mRNA splicing). Its 5' end forms complementary base pairs with the 5' splice junction, thus defining the 5' donor site of an intron.
Source: RNAcentral